RNAcentral lists this ribosomal RNA (393 nucleotides) under Triticum aestivum (bread wheat). RNAcentral's name for it is "partial small subunit ribosomal RNA". The record is from RNAcentral. Lineage: Eukaryota; Viridiplantae; Streptophyta; Magnoliopsida; Poales; Poaceae.
AUGUCGCCGCCGGCGGCGGCAGGCCCCUCCAUCUAUCCCGCACCGGAUCCAUCCCCGUCUACCCCACCAAAUGCCCCUUCCCAUUCAGGUCGUUCCCUCGAGCUGCGGCGGCCCAGUCCUGCCUCUAGAGCUGACGCGGCCGCAGUGGCGGCAGGACCGACUAGUGGGUUUGGAACCCCCGAGGUCUCCGGCGGCGGGCACAGAUCCAGCUCCGCGGCGAGCCAACAUGAGUCAGACUCGUGGGGAUGGUGUGCGGCAAGGCGGAGCAGAACACGGGCGCGCCCUUCACGCUCGACGACGGCACCAGCCGCAUCAAUUUCAUCAGAUGGUGCUACAUUGUACUUCUCUGGGGGAAUUGGUGCAAAAUCUAUACCAAAACAAUUUCAACUCUAG